Molecule: ribosomal RNA, 403 nt
Filed under: Verrucomicrobiota bacterium
Lineage: Bacteria; Pseudomonadati; Verrucomicrobiota
Description: Verrucomicrobia bacterium partial 16S ribosomal RNA
Rfam family: Bacterial small subunit ribosomal RNA
Source: RNAcentral
UGGGGAAUAUUGCACAAUGGGCGCAAGCCUGAUGCAGCAACGCCGCGUGAACGAUGAAGGUCUUCGGAUCGUAAAGUUCUGUUGCAGGGGAAGAUAAUGACGGUACCCUGUGAGGAAGCCCCGGCUAACUACGUGCCAGCAGCCGCGGUAAUACGUAGGGGGCUAGCGUUAUCCGGAUUUACUGGGCGUAAAGGGUGCGUAGGUGGUCUUUCAAGUCGGUGGUUAAAGGCUACGGCUCAACCGUAGUUAGCCUCCGAAACUGGAAGACUUGAGUGCAGGAGAGGAAAGUGGAAUUCCCAGUGUAGCGGUGAAAUGCGUAGAUAUUGGGAGGAACACCAGUAGCGAAGGCGGCUUGCUGGACUGCAACUGACACUGAGGCACGAAAGCGUGGGUAGCAAACAGG